GAUCGAUGAUCAGCCUUCAUUCAGUGUUGUGGAAAAUGUUGUGAAGUAUAGAAGGUGUACAACGUCUGUAAAACUAUUUGGUGUGACGACGGUUUUAAUCGUUAAUUUCUAACCACUGAUACCAGUUGUUGUUUGGCUGACUGUUUUAGUAUUUUGCUUAUUUUAUUUUUGCAAUUUAAUAAAUUACUGAAGUCACUGUGUUGUUUGUUUUGCUGUUGUGAAGUGUGCUUUCCAGACAGACAGACGAAAUAAUUUAACAAAAAAUUAAAUUGCAAAAAUCAAACCAAUCAACUGUUAAUAACAGUCACAACAGAGAAAAUUAAAACACAUACAAGUUCAAAACAGAAAUAAAUUUAUACAAAAUGUUGAAAAC
Lucilia sericata (common green bottle fly) is the source of this 373-nucleotide long non-coding RNA. RefSeq lists it as uncharacterized. Lineage: Eukaryota; Metazoa; Arthropoda; Insecta; Diptera; Calliphoridae. The record is from RefSeq and is a predicted model, not a curated record. The transcript is spliced from 2 exons.